This 126-nucleotide non-coding RNA is filed under the name Liquorilactobacillus oeni DSM 19972. RNAcentral's name for it is "Lactobacillus oeni DSM 19972 Enterococcus sRNA 68 (Lacto-3 RNA)". It matches the Rfam family "Enterococcus sRNA 68 (Lacto-3 RNA)". From Rfam's summary of the family: Name 'Ref' stands for RNA in E. faecalis. Also known as Lacto-3 RNA. Lactobacillales (Firmicutes). The record is from Rfam by way of RNAcentral. Lineage: Bacteria; Bacillati; Bacillota; Bacilli; Lactobacillales; Lactobacillaceae.
UGCGAUGAGUCGAGAAUAGUCAGGCGAUUUUAAAAUCGUUCCGCUGCGGCGGCUAGUGACUUUUUCAAGCGGAGUACAAAUGCUAGCGGAUUUCUAGCGUACUUAUAGAUUGCUAUUGUGGAAUGG